Molecule: ribosomal RNA, 492 nt
Filed under: uncultured bacterium
Lineage: Bacteria
Description: partial 16S ribosomal RNA
Rfam family: Bacterial small subunit ribosomal RNA
Source: RNAcentral
AGUGAACGCUGGCGGUAGGCCUAACACAUGCAAGUCGAACGGCAGCACAGUAAGAGCUUGCUCUUACGGGUGGCGAGUGGCGGACGGGUGAGGAAUACAUCGGAAUCUACUUUUUCGUGGGGGAUAACGUAGGGAAACUUACGCUAAUACCGCAUACGACCUACGGGGGAAAGCAGGGGAUCUUCGGACCUUGCGCGAAUGAAUGAGCCGAUGUCGGAUUAGCUAGUUGGCGGGGUAAAGGCCCACCAAGGCGACGAUCCGUAGCUGGUCUGAGAGGAUGGUCAGCCACACUGGAACUGGGACACGGUCCAGACUCCUACGGGAGGCAGCAGUGGGGAAUAUUGGACAAUGGGCGCAAGCCUGAUCCAGCCAUACCGCGUGGGUGAAGAAGGCCUUCGGGUUGUAAAGCCCUUUUGUUGGUAAAGAAAAGCAGCAGGUUAAUACCCCGCUGUUCUGACGGUACCCAAAGAAUAAGCACCGGCUAACUUCGUG